GGGUUGUGAGGUUAAGCGACUAAGCGUACACGGUGGAUGCCCUGGCAGUCAGAGGCGAUGAAGGGCGUGCUAAUCUGCGAUAAGCGCCGGUAAGGUGAUAUGAACCGUUAUAACCGGCGAUACCCGAAUGGGGAAACCCAGUGUGAUCGUCACACUAUCAUUAACUGAAUCCAUAGGUUAAUGAGGCGAACCGGGGGAACUGAAACAUCUAAGUACCCCGAGGAAAAGAAAUCAACCGAGAUUCCCCCAGUAGCGGCGAGCGAACGGGGAGGAGCCCAGAGCCUGAAUCAGCAUGUGUGUUAGUGGAAGCGUCUGGAAAGGCGCGCGAUACAGGGUGACAGCCCCGUACACAAAAGCGCAUGUGCUGUGAGCUCGAUGAGUAGGGCGGGACACGUGGUAUCCUGUCUGAAUAUGGGGGGACCAUCCUCCAAGGCUAAAUACUCCUGACUGACCGAUAGUGAACCAGUACCGUGAGGGAAAGGCGAAAAGAACCCCGGCGAGGGGAGUGAAAAAGAACCUGAAACCGUGUACGUACAAGCAGUGGGAGCACCCUUUGGGUGUGACUGCGUACCUUUUGUAUAAUGGGUCAGCGACUUAUAUUCUGUAGCAAGGUUAACCGAAUAGGGGAGCCGGAGGGAAACCGAGUCUUAAUUGGGCGUUAAGUUGCAGGGUAUAGACCCGAAACCCGGUGAUCUAGCCAUGGGCAGGUUGAAGGUUGGGUAACACUAACUGGAGGACCGAACCGACUAAUGUUGAAAAAUUAGCGGAUGACCUGUGGCUGGGGGUGAAAGGCCAAUCAAACCGGGAGAUAGCUGGUUCUCCCCGAAAGCUAUUUAGGUAGCGCCUCGUGAAUUCAUCUCCGGGGGUAGAGCACUGUUUCGGCUAGGGGGCCAUCCCGGCUUACCAACCCGAUGCAAACUGCGAAUACCGGAGAAUGUUAUCACGGGAGACACACGGCGGGUGCUAACGUCCGUCGUGAAGAGGGAAACAACCCAGACCGCCAGCUAAGGUCCCAAAGUCAUGGUUAAGUGGGAAACGAUGUGGGAAGGCCCAGACAGCCAGGAUGUUGGCUUAGAAGCAGCCAUCAUUUAAAGAAAGCGUAAUAGCUCACUGGUCGAGUCGGCCUGCGCGGAAGAUGUAACGGGGCUAAACCAUGCACCGAAGCUGCGGCAGCGACGCUUAUGCGUUGUUGGGUAGGGGAGCGUUCUGUAAGCCUGCGAAGGUGGCCUGUGAGGGUUGCUGGAGGUAUCAGAAGUGCGAAUGCUGACAUAAGUAACGAUAAAGCGGGUGAAAAGCCCGCUCGCCGGAAGACCAAGGGUUCCUGUCCAACGUUAAUCGGGGCAGGGUGAGUCGACCCCUAAGGCGAGGCCGAAAGGCGUAGUCGAUGGGAAACGGGUUAAUAUUCCCGUACUUGGUGUUACUGCGAAGGGGGGACGGAGAAGGCUAUGUUGGCCGGGCGACGGUUGUCCCGGUUUAAGCGUGUAGGUGUGUGUUCCAGGUAAAUCCGGUUCACUUUAACACUGAGGCGUGACGACGAGGCACUACGGUGCUGAAGCAACAAAUGCCCUGCUUCCAGGAAAAGCCUCUAAGCAUCAGGUAACAUCAAAUCGUACCCCAAACCGACACAGGUGGUCAGGUAGAGAAUACCAAGGCGCUUGAGAGAACUCGGGUGAAGGAACUAGGCAAAAUGGUGCCGUAACUUCGGGAGAAGGCACGCUGACACGUAGGUGAAGUGAUUUACUCAUGGAGCUGAAGUCAGUCGAAGAUACCAGCUGGCUGCAACUGUUUAUUAAAAACACAGCACUGUGCAAACACGAAAGUGGACGUAUACGGUGUGACGCCUGCCCGGUGCCGGAAGGUUAAUUGAUGGGGUCAGCGCAAGCGAAGCUCCUGAUCGAAGCCCCGGUAAACGGCGGCCGUAACUAUAACGGUCCUAAGGUAGCGAAAUUCCUUGUCGGGUAAGUUCCGACCUGCACGAAUGGCGUAAUGAUGGCCAGGCUGUCUCCACCCGAGACUCAGUGAAAUUGAACUCGCUGUGAAGAUGCAGUGUACCCGCGGCAAGACGGAAAGACCCCGUGAACCUUUACUAUAGCUUGACACUGAACAUUGAGCCUUGAUGUGUAGGAUAGGUGGGAGGCUUUGAAGUGUGGACGCCAGUCUGCAUGGAGCCGACCUUGAAAUACCACCCUUUAAUGUUUGAUGUUCUAACGUGGACCCGUUACCCGGGUUGCGGACAGUGUCUGGUGGGUAGUUUGACUGGGGCGGUCUCCUCCUAAAGAGUAACGGAGGAGCACGAAGGUUGGCUAAUCCUGGUCGGACAUCAGGAGGUUAGUGCAAUGGCAUAAGCCAGCUUGACUGCGAGCGUGACGGCGCGAGCAGGUGCGAAAGCAGGUCAUAGUGAUCCGGUGGUUCUGAAUGGAAGGGCCAUCGCUCAACGGAUAAAAGGUACUCCGGGGAUAACAGGCUGAUACCGCCCAAGAGUUCAUAUCGACGGCGGUGUUUGGCACCUCGAUGUCGGCUCAUCACAUCCUGGGGCUGAAGUAGGUCCCAAGGGUAUGGCUGUUCGCCAUUUAAAGUGGUACGCGAGCUGGGUUUAGAACGUCGUGAGACAGUUCGGUCCCUAUCUGCCGUGGGCGCUGGAGAACUGAGGGGGGCUGCUCCUAGUACGAGAGGACCGGAGUGGACGCAUCACUGGUGUUCGGGUUGUCAUGCCAAUGGCACUGCCCGGUAGCUAAAUGCGGAAGAGAUAAGUGCUGAAAGCAUCUAAGCACGAAACUUGCCCCGAGAUGAGUUCUCCCUGAGACUUAGAGUCUCCUGAAGGAACGUUGAAGACGACGACGUUGAUAGGCCGGGUGUGUAAGCGCAGCGAUGCGUUGAGCUAACCGGUACUAAUGAACCGUGAGGCUUAACCUUACAACGCCGAAG
RNAcentral lists this ribosomal RNA (2925 nucleotides) under Salmonella enterica subsp. enterica serovar Enteritidis str. EC20111174. RNAcentral describes it as "bacterial LSU rRNA". It matches the Rfam family "Bacterial large subunit ribosomal RNA". The record is from RNAcentral. Lineage: Bacteria; Pseudomonadati; Pseudomonadota; Gammaproteobacteria; Enterobacterales; Enterobacteriaceae.